Molecule: non-coding RNA, 98 nt
Organism: Acanthosepion pharaonis
Lineage: Eukaryota; Metazoa; Mollusca; Cephalopoda; Sepiida; Sepiidae
Source: the annotation of a GenBank genome assembly
UUGAAAUACAGGUCCCCGUACGAUAACCGAAGUUAAGCAACGUCAAGCCUGGCCAAUACCUAGAUGGGUGACUGCUUGGGAAUACCAGGUGCUGUAAG